GACGAACGCUGGCGGCGUGCUUAACACAUGCAAGUCGAACGGAAAGGCCCUGCUUUUGUGGGGUGCUCGAGUGGCGAACGGGUGAGUAACACGUGAGUAACCUGCCCUUGACUUUGGGAUAACUUCAGGAAACUGGGGCUAAUACCGGAUAGGAGCUCCUGCUGCAUGGUGGGGGUUGGAAAGUUUCGGCGGUUGGGGAUGGACUCGCGGCUUAUCAGCUUGUUGGUGGGGUAGUGGCUUACCAAGGCUUUGCCGGGUAGCCGGCCUGAGAGGGUGACCGGCCACAUUGGGCCUGAGAUACGGCCCAGACUCCUACGGGAGGCAGCAGUGGGGAAUAUUGCACAAUGGGCGGAAGCCUGAUGCAGCAACGCCGCGUGCGGGAUGACGGCCUUCGGGUUGUAAACCGCUUUCGCCUGUGACGAAGCGUGAGUGACGGUAAUGGGUAAAGAAGCACCGGCUAACUACGUG
This 468-nucleotide ribosomal RNA is filed under the name uncultured bacterium. RNAcentral's name for it is "partial 16S ribosomal RNA". It matches the Rfam family "Bacterial small subunit ribosomal RNA", at positions 28 to 507 of the family's 1533-position model. The record is from RNAcentral.